UACGUAGGGUGCAAGCGUUAAUCGGAAUUACUGGGCGUAAAGCGUGCGCAGGCGGUUGUGCAAGACAGGGGUGAAAUCCCCGGGCUUAACCUGGGAACUGCACUUGUGACUGCACGGCUGGAGUACGGCAGAGGGGGAUGGAAUUCCGCGUGUAGCAGUGAAAUGCGUAGAUAUGCGGAGGAACACCGAUGGCGAAGGCAGUCCCCUGGGCCUGUACUGACGCUCAUGCACGAAGGCGUGGGGAGCAAACAGG
Molecule: ribosomal RNA, 253 nt
Filed under: uncultured bacterium
Lineage: Bacteria
Description: partial 16S ribosomal RNA
Rfam family: Bacterial small subunit ribosomal RNA
Source: RNAcentral